GUUCAGAGAACGCCCAGCGGGACCCACAGGAAAGCGGACACGGGCGCAGAGGGGCGCGUGUCUGCGGGGACCAGCGCAGCAAGUGUGAUGUGGGAAGCGCGGCGGAAACUUGGGCAGAGAACCUCGGCCUACACAUGUGCACAUAGUCAGUGCUUGGGAAGCAUCCUGCCUCGCCAGCUUCUCACACUCACCACACCCAGGUCAGUGCACCCAAAGCUCUGAGAAGGCCUGCAGCACAAGACACUGUGGUAGCACAUGCAUACAAUCCCAGCACAUAAAGGUCUGAGUGGGAAACUAGGUCCAGGCCUGCCUGGGCUUUACAGAGAGACCCCGUCUCACAAAACUGAAAAGAACAAAGAAAAACAACACCAAAACAAAGAUCCCAUUCAACCAGAAUUUUCUGACCAACACUACUAGAGACUGCCUAGCAGUGUGUCAGCAGCAGGCACCAAGAAGACCUGAGAGAAAAAAAAAAGCUUCCAAAUAAAAGCCUUGGACUGAAAGAGUACAGCCAGCAGAUACCACUCAACUGCCCGACACACUGCAGAAUAUCCUCUGUCCCUGCGUAAAGGAUCCAAAGGAUAUGGUUCUGACCUUUGCUCUGCUUGGGGAGGCUGCUGAGUAAGGCUGAGACUCUGCUCUGCUACCUGCAUGUUGGCUGUCCUGCUAAGGCUGACUCUGACCAUCUGUGCAGAGUUGACACCUCCCUUGACUUCAUGGAUGCUGCAAUACUAGAAGGCAACUUUUGCAGUCUUGAAGCCAGACCCUGCUGGGGAUCUAGGAACCAACCUUAGACUCAGACCAGUUAAUGGACAGAGUGGAGUUAGUGGAGGCUUCUGGAGAGUACGUGUCCCUGGGGCACAAACAGUGGUAAGAGUGAUCUCAGCUUGAGGCAGAGGAGCCAUCCAAAGAAUGUUGCCCCUGGAGGUGGGAAGUGACAAGGGAGGGGUAACAGUGGUGGGACAGGCCGUACAAGGACUUCCACUUAAAACCAAGGACACACUCUCCACAAGGAGUAAGUGCUCCAGGAUCACUGCACAGGGAGCACUCUGUUCUGCACUUUGCCCAGAGACAGGUGGCAGUGUGUGUAGGGUAAAAGGGCCAGCCAAAGAAACACACCCUGGUUCUGAGACCCGCACCAGUGAAAGAAAUGCUUUAGCCCCGAACCCAGACCCAAAGAAAUGCGCCCUGUCUCUGAAACCAGUGCCAAAAAACACUGUGUCCCUAGACUCAGAGGCUGUGAAAGAAAUAUGCCCUGGCCCCAAAACUAGAGCCAAAAACCUUAAAAGGCCAGUGAAAGAAACAAUUUGGCCCUGAAAUCAGCCAUUUCUGCCCCUGAUAAACUAACCAAUCCCUCCUCUCCCUGGAAAAACUCCACCCCUAAGAAGCCCUAUGUAAGUCCCUCUGCCUGUUCAGGUUCUGGCUGCUCUUCUUCCACCUUGGUAGAGGCAGCCACUCUCAUGGAUUCUUCCCUCCUAAUAAAUCUCUUGAACAAGG
This is a long non-coding RNA of Microtus ochrogaster (prairie vole), 1497 nucleotides long. RefSeq lists it as uncharacterized. The transcript has 2 exons. Lineage: Eukaryota; Metazoa; Chordata; Mammalia; Rodentia; Cricetidae. The record is from RefSeq and is a predicted model, not a curated record.